Molecule: ribosomal RNA, 445 nt
Filed under: uncultured bacterium
Lineage: Bacteria
Description: partial 16S ribosomal RNA
Rfam family: Bacterial small subunit ribosomal RNA
Source: RNAcentral
GUGAGGAAUAUUGGUCAAUGGGCGGGAGCCUGAACCAGCCAAGUCGCGUGAAGGAAGAAGGAUCUAUGGUUCGUAAACUUCUUUUGCAGGGGAAUAAAGUGCAGGACGUGUCCUGUUUUGUAUGUACCCUGAGAAUAAGGAUCGGCUAACUCCGUUCCAGCAGCCGCGGUAAUACGGAGGAUCCGAGCGUUAUCCGGAUUUAUUGGGUUUAAAGGGUGCGUAGGUGGUUUGAUAAGUCAGCGGUGAAAGUUUGCGGCUUAACUGUAAAAAUGCCGUUGAAACUGUCGGACUUGAGUGUAAAUGAGGUAGGCGGAAUGCGUGGUGUAGCGGUGAAAUGCAUAGAUAUCACGCAGAACUCCGAUUGCGAAGGCAGCUUACUAAGCUACAACUGACACUGAAGCACGAAAGCGUGGGGAUCAAACAGGAUUAGAAACCCCGGUAGUCC